This 337-nucleotide ribosomal RNA is filed under the name Prosopistoma sp. BYU IGCEP166. Its description in RNAcentral is "partial 28S ribosomal RNA". It matches the Rfam family "Eukaryotic large subunit ribosomal RNA", at positions 648 to 941 of the family's 3401-position model. The record is from RNAcentral. Lineage: Eukaryota; Metazoa; Arthropoda; Insecta; Ephemeroptera; Prosopistomatidae.
CCCGUCUUGAAGCACGGACCAAGGAGUCUGACACGCGCGCGAGUCACUGGGUUACUCUAAACCCAGGGGCGUAUUGAACGAGAAGGCGGUCCUCGCGACCGCCGAGGGAAGAUGGAGUCGUCUCCGGACGACUCCCGCACUCCCGGGGCGUCUCGUCCCAAGGCCGCUCGUCGGUCGAGGGUGAGGCGCACCAAGAGCGCGCGCGUCGGGACCCGAAAGAUGGUGAACUAUGCCUGGCCAGGACGAAGUCAGGGGAAACCCUGAUGGAGGUCCGUAGCGAUUCUGACGUGCAAAUCGAUCGUCGGAGCUGGGUAUAGGGGCGAAAGGGAAUCCGGUU